RNAcentral lists this ribosomal RNA (254 nucleotides) under uncultured bacterium. RNAcentral describes it as "partial 16S ribosomal RNA". It matches the Rfam family "Bacterial small subunit ribosomal RNA", at positions 524 to 776 of the family's 1533-position model. The record is from RNAcentral.
UACGUAGGCAGCGAGCGUUUGUUCGGAGUUACUGGGCGUAAAGAGUGCGUAGGCGGUUUUCUAAGUUUGGUGUGAAAUCUCCCGGCUCAACUGGGAGGGUGCGCCGAAGACUGGAAGGCUUGAGUAUGGGAGAGGUAAGCGGAAUUCCUGGUGUAGCGGUGAAAUGCGUAGAUAUCAGGAGGAACACCUGCGGUGUAGACGGCUUACUGGACCAUAACUGACGCUGAGGCACGAAAGCGUGGGUAGCAAACAGG